RNAcentral lists this ribosomal RNA (301 nucleotides) under uncultured bacterium. RNAcentral describes it as "partial 16S ribosomal RNA". It matches the Rfam family "Bacterial small subunit ribosomal RNA", at positions 509 to 809 of the family's 1533-position model. The record is from RNAcentral.
CAGUCGCCGCGGUAAUACGAAGGGUGCAAGCGUUACUCGGAAUUACUGGGCGUAAAGCGUGCGUAGGUGGUGGUUUAAGUCCGUUGUGAAAGCCCUGGGCUCAACUUGGGAAUUGCAGUGGAUACUGGGUCACUAGAGUGUGGUAGAGGAUAGUGGAAUUUCCGGUGUAGCAGUGAAAUGCGUAGAGAUCGGAAGGAACAUCUGUGGCGAAGGCGACUAUCUGGGCCAACACUGACACUGAGGCACGAAAGCGUGGGGAGCAAACAGGAUUAGAUACCCCAGUAGUCCCUGUCUCUUAUAA